AGACUACCCUAGCCACAAUAACAAAAGAUCAAAAAUCACAAUCCACAACCAAAAUAAAAAAAUAAAAAAAAUACAAUGAGUGAAAAGGGAGGGGGUUUGGUUGGAGGAUUGGUAGCUCAUUUUUAGAGAGAUUUGGAGGAGGUAUUGUGCCGCCGGUGGGGUGCUUAAGUUUGGGGUUUUCUGCUGUCGUCGGUUAGGAGGAAGUAAGCUCGGUUCGUCGUCACCUAGGAGAAAAGAGGUUUGGCCUUGCCGUCGGUGAAAGGAAAGAGGCGGAGAGAGGAGAUCUAAGUGGCACCAACAAAGGGAGCAAAGCUCGAUUCAGGCAACAAGAGAAAAAGAAGAGUGAGCGGCAGUGGGGAGAAGUUCGAUCGACGGUAAAAGAGAGUAAAAGGAACGCUUCCAUGCUGUCGGUGGGUCGGUUGAGAGGAAGGAAAGAGAGGAUGGGAGGUUAGAGAGAGGAUAGAGAACUGCCAUCGUAGAGAGAGAAAGUGAAAGAAGAAAAUGGGGAGAGAAGAGAAAAAAAUGGUUUAUAUAUUAAGGCUUGGAGGCAAAACGGUGUAGUUGUGGGAGAACUCAAAAGACUCUUCCUAAGUGCUUGAAACGGUGCCAUUUUGGACCUUAAGGGAGACUACUAAAGCGGGUCGAGCCAAACCCAAAGGGAGCUAUUGGGUUCCUUGGACGUUGGGCUUCAAUAGUCCAAGUUUGGUAUGGACUCCUUUGGACCUUAUUAUUUGGAUUACUAUUAGGCUAUUUGUUUAUGAUGCUUAUUGGGCCAUUUUAAUUUUUUUUUAGUUUAGUUUUGGGUUAUUUGUUUAUUAUUUUUAUUGGGCUAUUUAUUUUUUAUCUAGUUUUAAUUAGG
RNAcentral lists this long non-coding RNA (859 nucleotides) under Theobroma cacao (cacao). RNAcentral describes it as "long non-coding RNA (TCAC_LNC002620)". Lineage: Eukaryota; Viridiplantae; Streptophyta; Magnoliopsida; Malvales; Malvaceae. The record is from RNAcentral.